Molecule: long non-coding RNA, 676 nt
Organism: Gasterosteus aculeatus aculeatus (three-spined stickleback)
Lineage: Eukaryota; Metazoa; Chordata; Actinopteri; Perciformes; Gasterosteidae
Source: Ensembl
CACACAAAGACGUGACUCUCCAGGUCGUCUUCAACAAAACACGUGACUCCACCUGUUGUUCUGGAGGUUGCUGUUCCACUCAAACCCGUGGUGCCAGUGAAGCCCCGCCUCCUGCCGCCGGCGUCCAGCACCCACAUCUCCCCCCACCCCAACUGCGCCGCCGCCGCCAAACCGCCGCAUCACAGAGCCGUCGCCCUGGCAACUGCUCGCAACAGACAAGCUCCUCCUCCUCCUCCUCCUCCUCCUCCUCUUCACCCCCAUCAACCAUCAAACCCUCACAGAGUGGAAACGUCUCCUCUCUGAGGAGCCUGGAGAACCACAUGAAGGAGUUGAUGAGAGGGACCCAGACUUCCUGCUCUCCUUCAGGAUCAACUGUAGAUAAACGUGCCUUGCUCGACAGCACCUCCGCUCAUUGUGUUCUGGGGAAGUGAACAACAGACCUCUGACCAGCAGCAAUUUUAGGUGUCUUUGUGGACCUCUCGGACCCUUUACCGGGUCCUCAACAAGACCUGCAGGAACCUCUGUAGAACUCUACCGGACCUUCAACAGGACCUACCGGACCCUCUGUAGGACUCUACUGGAUCUUCAACAGGACCUACCGGACCCUCUGUAGGACUCUACUGGACCUUCAACAGGACCUACCGGACCCUCUGCAGGACUCUACUGGACCUUCAAC